Molecule: non-coding RNA, 28 nt
Filed under: Bombyx mori (domestic silkworm)
Lineage: Eukaryota; Metazoa; Arthropoda; Insecta; Lepidoptera; Bombycidae
Source: RNAcentral
UGUACCUCUAACCGACAUCACCGCCAAA